UUAUGACUCAUAUUUAAAGUAGCCUAAGAAAUGUUUUGAGGAAAAAACAGUUGUGAUAGGAUUUACAACUUUCUUUUUAUCAUAUGAAAAAUUGCCUGCCAGAGGGUUUUGUUAAACAAUUACUACUUUUUACAGCACUCUGCAAUUCUAACAUGGGAGUAUUGCCUUCCUUAAAACCAGAUAGCAGAGGCUUGUCCUGCACAUAAACACCCGGAAUGAAUUCCAACACUUUCUUAUCUUUGACACGGCCUUGAUGAACGAAAAUGAAUGCAAAGAACCACCAAUGUACUGGACAAUCCAUGGAUUCUGGCCCGAUAAAGCUGCAGAAUGUAAUAGAAGUUGGCACUUCAAUAUAUCUGAACUUAAGGAUUUUAUGGAAGACAUGAACGAAUAUUGGCCAGAUAUACUACAUACAAACCAUACUUAUUUAUGGAGACAUGAAUGGGAAAAACAUGGGACAU
This is a long non-coding RNA of Thamnophis elegans (Western terrestrial garter snake), 461 nucleotides long. RefSeq lists it as uncharacterized. The record is from RefSeq and is a predicted model, not a curated record. Lineage: Eukaryota; Metazoa; Chordata; Lepidosauria; Squamata; Natricidae. The transcript has 6 exons.